Hibiscus syriacus is the source of this 255-nucleotide long non-coding RNA. RefSeq lists it as uncharacterized. NCBI's taxonomy places the organism in Eukaryota, Viridiplantae, Streptophyta, Magnoliopsida, Malvales, Malvaceae. The transcript is spliced from 4 exons. The record is from RefSeq and is a predicted model, not a curated record.
AUAGAUAUUAUUUUUCUAUGCAAGCUUCAUCUUCCAUUGUUUUACCUAGUUUUGUAAUGCAUUUUCCUCUCCCUCAAUCUUGCCAUGCAGGUUGUAGCUCCUGUCAAAAUGACAUUUGAAAUAUAUGCAACAUGUGUAAUACCUAUAAGUGCCUUCUUUGCAUCAACUCUUUGGUUUGGCAACACUGCCUAUUUGCACAUAUCUGUGGCUUUUAUCCAGAUGCUCAAAGCUCUAAUGCCAGUGGUAACAUUUUUC